AAAUAUUCGUGAGCCUGAUGGAAGUGACGGACGAAGUAAGCUGUUUGGUCUAAUUGGAUUGACUGGGCAGUGAAUUCGUUCCAGGAAAUAGCUCCAUCAUAAGACCGUACCCUAAACCGACACAGGUGGUCAGGUAGAGUAUACCAAGGCGCUUGAGAGAACUAUGCUGAAGGAACUAGACAAAUUGCACGCGUAACUUCGGGAUAAGCGUGGCCAAUGUUUACGCAAGUAGGCAUUGGCGGCACAAAAGAGGGGGUACCAACUGUUUAAUAAAAACACAGGACUAUGCGAACACGUAAGUGGAAGUAUAUGGUCUGACGCCUGCCCAGUGCUGGAAGAUUAAGCGGAGAGGUGCAAGCCUUGAUGUCAAGUCCCAGUGAACGGCGGCCGUAACAAUAACGGUCCUAAGGUAGCGAAAUUCCUUGUCGGGUAAGUUCCGACGCGCAUGAAUGGCGUAAUGAGUUCCCCAUUGUCUCCAGCAUAGACUCAGCGAAAUUGAAUUCUCCGUGAAGAUGCGGAGUUCCUACGGUUAGACGGAAAGACCCUGUGCACCUUUACUAUAGCUUUGCAGUGGUAUUAGGAACAACUUAUGUAGAAUAGGUGGGAGACUUUGAAACCUGGGCGCCAGCUUGGGUGGAGUCACCAGUGAAAUACCACCUUUUUUGUUUCUGAUAUCUAACCGCGAUAACUGAAUCGUUAUCCGGGACCCUGCAUGGUGGGUAGUUUGACUGGGGCGGUCGCCUCCCAAAGAGUAACGGAGGCGCGCGAUGGUAGGCUCAAGGCGGUCGGAAAUCGCCUGAUGAGUGUAAUGGCACAAGCCUGCCUGACUGCGAGAGUGACAAUUCAAGCAGAGACGAAAGUCGGUCAUAGUGAUCCGGUGGUUCCUAGUGGUAGGGCCAUCGCUCAACGGAUAAAAGGUACGCCGGGGAUAACAGGCUGAUGAUGCCCAAGAGUCCAUAUCGACGGCAUCGUUUGGCACCUCGAUGUCGGCUCAUCACAUCCUGGGGCUGGAGAAGGUCCCAAGGGUACGGCUGUUCGCCGUUUAAAGUGGUACGUGAGCUGGGUUUAGAACGUCGUGAGACAGUUCGGUCCCUAUCUGCCGUAGGUGUAAGGAAAAUUGAGAGGAUCUGCCCUUAGUACGAGAGGACCGGGGUGGACGUAUCCAUGGUGUACCAGUUGUUCCGCCAGGAGCACGGCUGGGUAGCUAAAUACGGACGGGAUAACCGCUGAAUGCAUCUAAGCGGGAAGCCCACCUCAAAACUAGUUUUCCCCAUUAGGAUGGUUGUAGACUACGACCUUGAUAGGCUGGAUGUGGAAGUACCGCAAGGUAUGGAGCUAACCAGUACUAAUAAUCCGAUUGA
This 1361-nucleotide ribosomal RNA is filed under the name metagenome. Its description in RNAcentral is "bacterial LSU rRNA". It matches the Rfam family "Bacterial large subunit ribosomal RNA", at positions 1431 to 2925 of the family's 2925-position model. The record is from RNAcentral.